Molecule: unclassified non-coding RNA, 202 nt
Filed under: Hevea brasiliensis (rubber tree)
Lineage: Eukaryota; Viridiplantae; Streptophyta; Magnoliopsida; Malpighiales; Euphorbiaceae
Source: RNAcentral
UUGUUCGAUGAAAAGCUUCAGUUCUUUGAGCUUAGCUGCGUCCAUACUGCGAGCGAUCAAAGCGAUUGGUAAUGGAAUUGGAAACGGAGGAGACAAACUGUAGAGUAGUCUGGGACGAAGUGGACUGCCCGACCGGGUCUUCCAGUAGCUUCUAUUGGAUUUGGAGCUUUGGACCCUCUACGUGAGAUUAAUCAGUUUCACG